GGUUACGAUCAUACCAGCACUAAUGCACCGGAUCCCAUCAGAACUCCGCAGUUAAGCGUGCUUGGGCGAGAGUAGUACUAGGAUGGGUGACCCCCUGGGAAGUCCUCGUGUUGCAACCC
RNAcentral lists this ribosomal RNA (119 nucleotides) under Helianthus annuus (common sunflower). The record is from RNAcentral. Lineage: Eukaryota; Viridiplantae; Streptophyta; Magnoliopsida; Asterales; Asteraceae.